GGCAGCAUGGCCGAGUGGUCUAAGGCGCUGGAAUUAGGUUUUCUGUUAUACGGAUUCUUUAUCCAGUCCGAAAGGGCGUGGGUUCGAACCCCACUGCUGUCA
Mycena rosella is the source of this 102-nucleotide non-coding RNA. The record is from the annotation of a GenBank genome assembly. NCBI's taxonomy places the organism in Eukaryota, Fungi, Basidiomycota, Agaricomycetes, Agaricales, Mycenaceae.